CAGCGUCGCGUCGUUCCACGCACCCCCCCCCCCCCCCCCCCCCCGGACGUGACGCCACCACCACCGUCGCCGCUCCUGCUGCCGCGCUGCGGGGACGUCACUUCCGCAAACAGGAUGGCGGAGCGGCGGCCUGGAUUUCCAUUCUGAUCAAUGGACAAGGAGACUAACCUGUCAAAAAUGGCUGAUUUAACCAAGACAGAAGAACAGGAAGUAGAGAAGAGUUUGGAUGAAGAAGUGGAGAAAACACCUUGUACUUUAGAGGCAGAGUCAGGUAUUGGUUGGCAAGGCGAUAGUUCAACUUCAGGCACAGUACACUCCACUGAAAGUGAAAAAGAAGUUGAUAGUGGUAAUCAGGACGGCAGAGCAAAAAGGAAGAAUUUAGAUCCUGAAGAUGAACCUCCUAAGAAAGUACAUGAGAUAGGCCAUGGGCAAGCUGUAGCUGCACAUUAUAAUGAACUUCAAGAAGUUGGAUUGGAAAAACGUAGCCAGUCUCGCAUAUUCUACCUCCGAAACUUUAAUAAUUGGACAAAGAGCGUCCUCAUUGGUGAAUUCAUAGACCGAGUACGACGGAAAAAGAAUGAUAUAACUGUUUUGGAUCUAGGAUGUGGCAAAGGUGGAGACUUACUGAAAUGGAAAAAAGGCAGAAUUAAAAAACUUGUCUGUACUGAUAUUGCUGACAUUUCUGUGCAACAGUGCAAGCAGCGAUAUGAAGACAUGAAAGCCCGAUGUCGUUAUAACGAACGUAUUUUUGAUGCAGAAUUUAUACAAGCAGAUAGUACCAAGGAUCUCUUGUCUUCCAAAUACAGUGAUCCAGAUAUGCGCUUUGACAUUUGCAGCUGCCAAUUUGUUUACCAUUACUCAUUUGAGACAUAUGAGCAGGCUGACAUGAUGCUUAAAAAUGCUUGUGGGAACCUCUCUCCUGGAGGGUAUUUCAUUGGCACAACUCCAAAUAGCUUUGAACUUGUAAAGCGACUUGAAGCUUCAGAAACAAAUUCAUUUGGGAAUGAGGUGUACAGUGUAAAAUUUGGAAAGAAAGGAGAAUAUCCCUUGUUUGGCUGCAAGUAUGAUUUCCACUUGGAAGAAGUGGUUGAUGUCCCCGAGUUCUUGGUUUACUUUCCAUUACUGGAAGAAAUGGCAAAGCAGCAUGGUAUGAAAUUAGUCUACAAAAUGACAUUUCGGGAGUUCUAUGAAGAAAAAGUCAAGAACGAGGAGCAUAAAAUGCUGCUACGGAGAAUGCAGGCCUUGGAGCCAUAUUCUACAUUUGGUGAUUCCAGGCUUGUUUCUGAUAAACCUGAGGAUUAUGAGCAUGUAAAAGAGUUCAUCAAAGAUGGCAAGGCAAAGUUACCAUUGGGAACCUUGAGUAAAUCUGAAUGGGAAGCAACAAUGAUAUGUGUUUCAGGAAGAAGCAAUUAAAGCAUGGACGGUGAAGAGGUAUUUGAAUGUUUUAUAAAGGGAGUAGAAAAAAGUCAGUGCCUCAGACACCAAAAAGGAUACAUUAUUGUUAAAUAUGUCUUGAAAUUUUGUGAAUGUGUGCCAUGGAAAACUUUUGACAUCGUUUUUUUCCAAUGUUGAGUUUAAUAGAACUCAGAUACAAGGGGCUGAGAAUUCUAAGGGUAAAAAUUGGUUCCUGGAGAGAUUGUUACUUAAUUCUGUGUAACUGCAGCCAACCAACAAUUGCAUUUUUGGAGACCAUUAUACUGGUUGUGUUAGUGGUUUAAAAACAACCGAAAAAUGCUGUUCAAUUCAUGAAUGAAAAAAUCUUUAGUUAAGCUGUUUGCUUUCUUAAAUUAUUAUCUAAUUUUUAAAGGUAUGAAUCAUAAAGUAGACAUUAAUUCCAGCAAGGUAUAAGUAUUAUGUAAACUAUUAAUCUAAUUGAGAGGGGCUUUUUAUACCUUUAAAAGUUCAGUGAUUGUUUUUUAAGUAGUCUCUUUUUUCAGAGAGAUUUGGAGUGCAGAGCUUCUGAUAGGGUAUAAGCACAGCUUGUUCGUUACAUGGAACUUCAGUUUCCCUUAUUGCUGAGGAACGUACCAUAGGCUUGUCUUGAAAGAUUUGCGAUGUAGCUAUGGCACCUCAUCCAUUAAAAUAAAAAUUGAGUUCAAGUGGAAAUCCAUACAUGUUUAAGUAGACUCAUGGUCUCAAGAAACUGGUUUAAUUUAUCUGUCUGGUAUGAAGCAUAAGAACACCUGACAUAGCUGGCAUUGAUUAUAUGCCAAGCAAGAGUUUCCCAGGGGUGCCAGUGUGGACUGUAUAUGAGUAUCCAUUUCUAGAAUCACACUGUUCUGGAGUUGAGAAAAUGCCAUCUAGUGUUUGUAUUUACUUGGUAUUUGCAUUUGAGAAACAACUGUGAAACUUCACGUACUGGAUGCAGCAAGAAGAGAUCGUAUCCACAUGCAAGUUGGAAUGGUCAGAAAUCCAUUGUGGCAACUAUUUUUUUAUUUUUUAUUUUUUAAUUAUCAGAAGUGUGCAGGACACUACCAAAAACUGGAGCAAGCUCAUGAUUCUGAGUUACAUUGCCUGUCUGUGACAGAUGGACUUGUGUGUGUAUAUAUAAGAAAGAUUCUGAACCAGUCUUUUUAAGCAUUUGUAAGCAAUCUGCAUGCUCUCAAAACUCAUGUUUGAACUUGACACAACUUUAUGUUAGAAACAAAUGUUUUGUUAGUAGAAGUAUGUUUGUUUGUGAUUUCAAGCCUGACCCUGCACUUUCUGAAAUUGAUGGAAAAUUGACUGUUGACUUUGAUGGUGCAGAAUGAGGGCCUAAAUAUUGUACUGCAGAGCUCAGUUAAUUCAUAAUGAGAUGCAUUCAGACAUAUAGGGUAUGUCUACAUUGCAUGCAGAGCUAAGUGGCAAAUCAUACCUGAGUCAGUUUGAAUACUUAUGUGCAGUGCUCAAGCCUGCAGUGUAAAUCUACCUUAGUGGUAUUCAAGGUGUAGUUUACAGGGUAAAGUCCCAUGAUGUUCUUGUUUUUUGUGCUUGCGGAUAUGUAGUGUCACUUCAUGGUGCUUUCAAGAUUAAACGAGUUGGUUCUGUACAAAACUGCUCUGAACGAACUGAAUUUCUAAAGUUUUAAACCUCUACAUCAUUUUUCCAGAUAGGACUAUGUGGUGAUCAAAAACAGCUGCUGAACUUAGAUUACUGAACAUUUUAUAUUGUAUUAAAGACUCUCCUGACUUUUUGGUGGUUUUAAUGUCUCCUGAAACUUACUAGACAGAUCUUAGGAUGUGUUUCUCACUUGUUUCAUAAAAUUCCAAAUGAGCUUGGCAGAAGGAUGAGCUGUUGGUGGUGAUGGGGACCUCAUUGCAGUCCUCCAGGCAUUAGGAACACGGUCACAUACUGGAUCGUGAACCAAAAGGGGAGCUUGUAUAACAUUUGAGGAUACUAGAAAUUCACUCUGGGAGGGAGGGCUGUGUAUGUGUGUAUACCCUCUGUGCAUGUGGAUAACAAUCCCCAAAUUAGAGUGAAAUAUUUUGGUUGGGAAUGUAAUCUAAUGAUACUAAUAAGCAGAACUGUGCGUAACUACCAUCUUAACUGCCCGUCAGUCUCUCAGAGCUGGCUUAGGGAUUUCUGACAUGGUGUUUGCUCCGCUUUCCACAUGCUUGUAGCCACGCACUACUGAGAGGGUGUGGGCACUUCAUGUGUUUUCUCUCCCGUCUUGGGCUAACAGUAGCUGUUUGCUGCUGCGGGCUAGUAUAGUUUACAUAGAGAUGAAAUGAUGAAGUGUUGAUGGUACAUGAGUGUUUUGAAAAGUUACAGUAAACCUAGGAAAGAUAAUUUCUGGUACAGAGUUAAGCAUUCAAAGUACUUGAGUUUGUAGUUGUUUUGCCUUCCUCCUGUAAUUAAGUCAUGCUCUUUCCUCCAUGACUCCUGAUUUUAUUUUUUUGUUAGUUUAUUAUAUAGAAGAACACCUAUAACCUUCACCAAAGCAGUAGAAUCAGUCAGUUCUGCUGCUGAAAUUAAGAAAACAAGACUCUUUGUUACAAUUAGUACUCAUGAAACUAGCUGAAAAAUGCUGACACUUUAGAAGUGCUGAAGUGUUUCACUGAAAUUCGUGUGUGUCAAAGAUAGUUUUGUUAGAUUUCUUGUAUCAAAUUUCAUUUGAAAGUACAUUAUGCUAUUUUUGGAAGAAAUCAGAAUAAUAAAAAGAGGGGAAAUACA
Molecule: RNA transcript, 4152 nt
Organism: Aquila chrysaetos chrysaetos
Lineage: Eukaryota; Metazoa; Chordata; Aves; Accipitriformes; Accipitridae
Gene: RNMT
Gene name: RNA guanine-7 methyltransferase
Exons: 12
Source: RefSeq, a predicted model, not a curated record